CCAUAUUUCGGUUUGUGCGUGAAUCUAACAAUUCAAUCUGUAUUCGAUUCUCAACAUCUGCUUUGAAUCGGAGGCUGUUAGAUUCGCGCACAAACUCGUAAUCUGUCU
Molecule: microRNA precursor, 108 nt
Filed under: Daucus carota subsp. sativus
Lineage: Eukaryota; Viridiplantae; Streptophyta; Magnoliopsida; Apiales; Apiaceae
Description: pre miRNA MIR403
Source: RNAcentral